RNAcentral lists this long non-coding RNA (298 nucleotides) under Ananas comosus (pineapple). Its description in RNAcentral is "long non-coding RNA (ACOM_LNC017334)". The record is from RNAcentral. Lineage: Eukaryota; Viridiplantae; Streptophyta; Magnoliopsida; Poales; Bromeliaceae.
CCCUAUGAUCUGAUGAUGUUGUUGAGCUAGCUUCUUUGAAGUGGACAAAGUAUCCCAGGUCUAUCAAAAUGUGUUUCAAAUUAUUUUCCCAUUCUUUACCAGCAUAACAAGUACCCAGAUUAAAGUUGUAAAUAUAAUUUCGAAUCUAAUUUAAGUUUGAAUUUAAAUUUAAAUUUAAUUUAAAAUCUAAAGUUUCUUUUUUUUUGAGAAAACAGGGAUAUACCCUAUUUGUGAUUGAAGUAAAGCUAGGGGGGGUUAAAAUCUAAAGUUUUAUUCAAAUUUUAUUUAAAAUUUAUGG